This 71-nucleotide transfer RNA is filed under the name Loxodonta africana (African savanna elephant). It matches the Rfam family "tRNA". Rfam says of the family: Transfer RNA (tRNA) molecules are approximately 80 nucleotides in length. Their secondary structure includes four short double-helical elements and three loops (D, anti-codon, and T loops). The record is from Rfam by way of RNAcentral. Lineage: Eukaryota; Metazoa; Chordata; Mammalia; Proboscidea; Elephantidae.
GCAUUGGUGAUUCAGUGGUAGAAUUCUUGCCUUCUAUGCAGGAGACCCAGGCUCAAUUUCCAGUCAAUGUA